Molecule: ribosomal RNA, 333 nt
Filed under: uncultured bacterium
Lineage: Bacteria
Description: partial 16S ribosomal RNA
Source: RNAcentral
ACUUACGCGUUACGUUAAAUACCCCUUACGGUUAGGAGCAUUUAGUAUUCAUCGGUCACUGCAUAGACUACCGGGGUCUCUAAUCCCGUUUGCUACCUAUGCUUUUGCGCUAUAGUGUCAGUUUAUAGUAGAAAGUCGCUUUCGCCCGUAGACUGUCCUUCUAAUUUUUGCAAAUUUCACCUCUACACUAGAAGUACAACUUUCUUCAAAUAAACUCAAGCGCGGCCGUCNNNNUUAAGGACCUCCAAAUUAUGUUUGAGUAUUUAAAAAAACGUACCACACCACCUUCACGCCCUUUACGCCCAGUCAAGUUGAGUAACACUAGCCCCCUCC